GAGUCCGCGGUCUCAUUAGCUACCUCCANNNGUAAUGGCCUACCAAGGCAACGAUGAGUAGCUNCUCUGAGAGGAUGAUCAGCCACACUGGAACUGAAACACGGUCCAGACUCCUACGGGAGGCAGCAGUGGGGAAUAUUGCGCAAUGGGCGAAAGCCUGACGCAGCAACGCCGUGUGAGGGAUGAAGGCUUUCGGGUCGUAAACCUCUGUCGGAAGGGAAGAACGGGCAUUGGUCUAAUAGGCCUUUGUUUUGACGGUACCUUUAGAGGAAGCACCGGCUAACUCCGUGCCAGCAGCCGCGGUAAUACGGAGGGUGCAAGCGUUAUUCGGAAUUACUGGGCGUAAAGCGCACGUAGGCCGCUUUGUAAGUCAGGGGUGAAAUCCCACGGCUCAACCGUGGAACUGCCUUUGAAACUGCAGAGCUUGAAUCCUGGAGAGGGUGGCGGAAUUCCUGGUGUAGGAGUGAAAUCCGUAGAUAUCAGGAGGAACACCGGUGGCG
This 500-nucleotide ribosomal RNA is filed under the name uncultured sulfate-reducing bacterium. RNAcentral describes it as "bacterial SSU rRNA". It matches the Rfam family "Bacterial small subunit ribosomal RNA", at positions 226 to 717 of the family's 1533-position model. The record is from RNAcentral.